UACGUAGGGGGCAAGCGUUGUCCGGAAUCAUUGGGCGUAAAGCGCGUGUAGGCGGCUUGGUAAGUCCGCUCUGAAAGCCCGGGGCUCAACCCCGGGAGGCGGGUGGAUACUGUCAAGCUCGAGUCCGGAAGAGGCGAGUGGAAUUCCUGGUGUAGCGGUGAAAUGCGCAGAUAUCAGGAGGAACACCAAUGGCGAAGGCAGCUCGCUGGGACGUGACUGACGCUGAGGCGCGAAAGCUAGGGGAGCAAACGGG
Molecule: ribosomal RNA, 253 nt
Filed under: uncultured bacterium
Lineage: Bacteria
Description: partial 16S ribosomal RNA
Rfam family: Bacterial small subunit ribosomal RNA
Source: RNAcentral